UGUUUUAACUUUGUUUCGGCUCCACUUCGCGCCGAUCGAUGUCCAACCCAUUCCAACACCUUUAGAACUCAUUUUUGCUCUUCCAAAUUAGUCGGAACGCCGAAUGGAACUUGUCCAAAUCGUUUAAUCGCCCACUUUGGCCCAUUUGGCCCAAAGUUAGCCAACGUCGUCGAAUUUCGAUAUCUUACAUUCUCCACCCCUUAAAAGGAGUUUCGUCCUCGAAACAACUAACUCGUAAAUCAAACUUAAACUCUUACCUCAAUCCUCAAACAAGUGAGGAUGAUUCGCUUUCAUCUGAUCCUCGAGUUCCCAAGUGGCUUCGCGAUCAUCGUGAUUGCACCACCGGACUUUAACAUAGGGAAUUUCUCGAUUCCUUAGCUUACGCACCUCUCGAGCCAAAAUCUCUACCGGAAACUCUUCAUAACUCAAAUCAUCUUGAAGUUCCGGCGG
This 450-nucleotide long non-coding RNA is filed under the name Ananas comosus (pineapple). RNAcentral's name for it is "long non-coding RNA (ACOM_LNC000974)". Lineage: Eukaryota; Viridiplantae; Streptophyta; Magnoliopsida; Poales; Bromeliaceae. The record is from RNAcentral.